ACAGUUUGAAACUUACCUAAUUAAAAUAGACAGCAUCUGGAGAACUGUGAGCAAGGAGUCUUGUGAUUUGAUUUAUGUGUUAAAACAUCAAUCGGCAGGGAUGCAAAGUAUCCAAGAAAAAAAGUAGCACAGCUCAUGUUAACAAGAAUGUCCCUUUAAGAAUCUCUAUGUAUUGUGGAAAUUCAGACAGGUUUCAAUGCAGCUCUGAAGUGAUCAAUGGAUUCAUCUCUUGUUGGAGUUAAAGCCCCUACAAUCUGAUCAGUUUCCAGAAGUUCCACCUAUGAAUGUUGCUGCAUUGGGACCAAACUUUCCAGACACUAUCUCCCCGGAGAUAUCCUGACCAGUGCAAAAUGAAAGAUCAUUUUGCUUUGUGAUCCAGAGAACAGCAUCUGCAAAGAGGCUUCAAGGUCACCCUGAAUUGCUUUUUCAACAUCAAGCAAGUCAGCAACUGCCUCCUCACCAGUGAGGAGGGAUAAUGCCUUUGAUGGCCAUGUAAGAGGGUUACUGAAAAAUUAUAAAACAAAAACAAAGACCUUAUUCAUAGUUUAUAGUAUAAAAAAUAAUGCUAAAGGGCCAGGGAUAUAGCUCAGUGGAACAGCGCCUGCCUGGCAAGUACAAGGUCUUAAGUUCAAUUUCCAGUGUCUAAAUAAAUAAAUAAAAUAAAAUAAAAUAAUGCUAAA
This is a long non-coding RNA of Cavia porcellus (domestic guinea pig), 680 nucleotides long. RefSeq lists it as uncharacterized. Lineage: Eukaryota; Metazoa; Chordata; Mammalia; Rodentia; Caviidae. The transcript is spliced from 4 exons. The record is from RefSeq and is a predicted model, not a curated record.